CGCGUGAGGGAGGGGCUCUUGGGUUGUAAACCUCUUUUCUCAGGGAAGAAUGAUGACGGUACCUGAGGAAUAAGCAUCGGCUAACUCCGUGCCAGCAGCCGCGGUAAUACGGAGGAUGCAAGCGUUAUCCGGAAUGAUUGGGCGUAAAGCGUCCGCAGGUGGCAAUGUAAGUCUGCUGUCAAAGCGUCUGGCUCAACCAGAUAAAGGCAGUGGAAACUACAUAGCUAGAGUAAGGUAGGGGUAGAGGGAAUUCCUGGUGUAGCGGUGAAAUGCGUAGAGAUCAGGAAGAACACCGGUGGCGAAAGCGCUCUGCUGGACCUUAACUGACACUGAGGGACGAAAGCUAGGGGAGCGAAUGGGAUUAGAUACCCCUAG
This 375-nucleotide ribosomal RNA is filed under the name Kalymmatonema hyalinum. RNAcentral's name for it is "bacterial SSU rRNA". It matches the Rfam family "Bacterial small subunit ribosomal RNA", at positions 398 to 791 of the family's 1533-position model. Lineage: Bacteria; Bacillati; Cyanobacteriota; Cyanophyceae; Nostocales; Scytonemataceae. RNAcentral also lists the same sequence under 1 other name. The record is from RNAcentral.